CCUACGGGUGGCAGCAGUGAGGAAUAUUGGUCAAUGGGCGGAAGCCUGAACCAGCCAAGUCGCGUGAGGGAUUAAGGCCCUGCGGGUCGUAAACCUCUUUUGCAGGGGAGCAGAGGUGCGGACGUGUCCGGGCCGGGAGAGUACCCGGAGACAAAGCAUCGGAUAACUCCGUGCCAGCAGACGCGGUAAUACGGAGGAUGAGAGCGUUAGCCGGAUUUAUUGGGUUUAAGGGGUGCGUAGGCGGGCAUUUAAGCCGGCGGUCAAAUGUCGGGGCUCAACCCCGGCAUGCCGUCGGAACUGGGUGCCUUGAGUGGGCGUGAGGUAUGCGGAAUGCGUGGUGUAGCGGUGAAAUGCAUAGAUAUCACGCAGAACCCCGAUUGCGAAGGCAGCAUACCGGCGCCCUACUGACGCUGAGGCACGAAAGUGCGGGUAUCGAACAGGAUUAGAUACCCGUGUAGUC
This 460-nucleotide ribosomal RNA is filed under the name uncultured bacterium. RNAcentral's name for it is "partial 16S ribosomal RNA". It matches the Rfam family "Bacterial small subunit ribosomal RNA", at positions 338 to 795 of the family's 1533-position model. The record is from RNAcentral.